CAGCCGCCGCGGUAAUACGAAGGGGGCUAGCGUUGUUCGGAAUCACUGGGCGUAAAGGGCGCGUAGGCGGCCAUUCAAGUUAGAUGUGAAAGCCCUGGGCUCAACCUAGGAAUUGCAUUUGAUACUGUUUAGCUUGGGUUCGGGAGAGGUGAGUGGAAUUCCCAGUGUAGAGGUGAAAUUCGUAGAUAUUGGGAAGAGCACCAGUGGCGAAGGCGGCUCACUGGACCGACACUGACGCUGAGGCGCGAAAGCUAGGGGAGCAAACAGGAUUAGAGACCCCUGUAGUCCCUGUCUCUUAUAC
RNAcentral lists this ribosomal RNA (301 nucleotides) under uncultured bacterium. RNAcentral describes it as "partial 16S ribosomal RNA". It matches the Rfam family "Bacterial small subunit ribosomal RNA", at positions 509 to 807 of the family's 1533-position model. The record is from RNAcentral.